GAUGAACGCUGGCGGCGUGCCUAAUACAUGCCAGUCGAGCGAACAGACGAGGAGCUUGCUCCUCUGACGUUAGCGGCGGACGGGUGAGUAGCACGUGGAUAACCUACCUAUAAGACUGGGAUAACUUCGGGAAACCGGAGCUAAUACCGGAUAAUAUAUUGAACCGCAUGGUUCAAUAGUGAAAGACGGUUUUGCUGUCACUUAUAGAUGGAUCCGCGCCGCAUUAGCUAGUUGGUAAGGUAACGGCUUACCAAGGCAACGAUGCGUAGCCGACCUGAGAGGGUGAUCGGCCACACUGGAACUGAGACACGGUCCAGACUCCUACGGGAGGCAGCAGUAGGGAAUCUUCCGCAAUGGGCGAAAGCCUGACGGAGCAACGCCGCGUGAGUGAUGAAGGUCUUCGGAUCGUAAAACUCUGUUAUUAGGGAAGAACAAAUGUGUAAGUAACUAUGCACGUCUUGACGGUACCUAAUCAGAAAGCCACGGCUAACUACGUG
This 497-nucleotide ribosomal RNA is filed under the name uncultured bacterium. RNAcentral's name for it is "partial 16S ribosomal RNA". It matches the Rfam family "Bacterial small subunit ribosomal RNA", at positions 28 to 507 of the family's 1533-position model. The record is from RNAcentral.